CUGACGGAUACAUCGAUUGAUAUGUCAAUUGAUUUAUCUGGAUGGCUAAUAAGUUUACAUAGAAAACUGCACAUUUUUAAAUUAAUUUGUAAUAUUUGUGUCCAUAUUCUUAAAGCGUCACCAUUUUUGUCGAUCCCAGGAUUUUUGUUUUCACUCUGGAAUGCAGAAAUUCCCACGUAGACCCUUGGCCCCUUUUCACUAAGAAAAGUUCCCAUAGCCAGUCUCAUACUUGACGCGCGCUUUUCUUGCCUGGAUGAAUUCUCUCACCGCUCCUCCUGGAAUCUCCCACCCUCCCCUGCCCCGCUGAAUGUUUUUUUUUUUCUUUAAGGGACUUCACGGAGGAAUGCCAUUCAGCUCAUUCAACCCGACGCCCCCCAAAUCUCUCCUGCAAACGUGUCCUCGCUGAUUCUCUCAAAGAAUUAAUUGCUGCAAAUAAUCUCGCCAUCUGGUUGGGGAGGUCCGUACCUGUGAGGCUGCUUGCAUUGCAGAGGUUGGGGUCUAUUCAGAUGCCCGCAAUGCUGCUGUGGCGCGCCCCGGACGCCUGCAAGGGCGGCAUCACUAUGAUCCGACUGCAGGCCGCACACGGGACGUCCAGAGAAGAGAGGGUGCGAAGAAUUAGAAGGAGACUGGGGAAGACAGAAUGCACAGAAGCACGUUGAGAGCAAGCCGGCGUCUCAUCAUUUUUAUUUCCCCUUUUUUAAUUCUCUCAUGGUUUUGACUGGAGUAAUAACGCUCUCCCACGUUUCCCUGUCAUCAAAUAAAGCCAGAAGUCAUUUGAAGAGGUGUAAACGG
RNAcentral lists this long non-coding RNA (792 nucleotides) under Betta splendens (Siamese fighting fish). Its description in RNAcentral is "lncRNA (ENSBSLG00000004503.1)". The record is from RNAcentral. Lineage: Eukaryota; Metazoa; Chordata; Actinopteri; Anabantiformes; Osphronemidae.